RNAcentral lists this ribosomal RNA (498 nucleotides) under uncultured bacterium. RNAcentral's name for it is "partial 16S ribosomal RNA". It matches the Rfam family "Bacterial small subunit ribosomal RNA", at positions 30 to 523 of the family's 1533-position model. The record is from RNAcentral.
AUUGAACGCUGGCGGCAUGCCUUACACAUGCAAGUCGAACGGUAACAGGUCUUCGGAUGCUGACGAGUGGCGAACGGGUGAGUAAUACAUCGGAACGUGCCUAGUAGUGGGGGAUAACUACUCGAAAGAGUGGCUAAUACCGCAUGAGAUCUACGGAUGAAAGCAGGGGAUCGCAAGACCUUGUGCUACUAGCGCGGCCGAUGGCAGAUUAGGUAGUUGGUGGGAUAAAAGCUUACCAAGCCGACGAUCUGUAGCUGGUCUGAGAGGACGAUCAGCCACACUGGGACUGAGACACGGCCCAGACUCCUACGGGAGGCAGCAGUGGGGAAUUUUGGACAAUGGGCGAAAGCCUGAUCCAGCAAUGCCGCGUGCUGGAUGAAGGCCUUCGGGUUGUAAACUGCUUUUGUACGGAACGAAAAGCCCUGGGUUAAUACCCUGGGGUCAUGACGGUACCGUAAGAAUAAGCACCGGCUAACUACGUGCCAGCCGCCGCCGUAA